This is a long non-coding RNA of Micropterus salmoides (largemouth bass), 862 nucleotides long. RefSeq lists it as uncharacterized. The transcript is spliced from 5 exons. The record is from RefSeq and is a predicted model, not a curated record. NCBI's taxonomy places the organism in Eukaryota, Metazoa, Chordata, Actinopteri, Centrarchiformes, Centrarchidae.
UUAUCUUUGUUGGGUCAUUGUUUGUUGUCACCCAGCGUUGUGGUGCGUUCGCUUGUUGUCAGCCUCACUUGUCGUGUCUCCUUGUUUCCCUGCUCGUUUUGGAUUUUGGUUUUCUGUUGGACAACCUUUGUUUUGGACUUAGUCUUUCAGCCACUCUGUCUGUUGUUUGUGAAUUUACUGACCUUACAAGUGGUGAUGUUGACUCCCUUGAUGAAGAGGCUCUUCUGGCUGAAACGCACACGCUGCCCCACCCAGACCUCACGUUUGGUAUUUAAGCCUUUCAGUGGAAGGAGUCUUGCAGUUAAACUGAGAGCACGAAGCAGCAUCUCCUCUAAACCAAGCCACCUCAUUAGGCAGUUCCUACAGAGCAACUCAAGCUUUAAUCAGCUGCUGACAUUUCUACAUUUUCUUUGGGAGUAAACUCCUGUCACUAAGAUGAACGUGGGCUUUGAGAUCGAAGGGCCCAAUGCCGGCACAAACGUCGAAGCCUCUUUAUCGUCUCCCAGUGUCACAGCCUUUGUGAAAGCACAAGUUGCCAGUACUUCCCUCACCAUUGGUCCUGUGAAAGCUAAAGUGGGCCUUGCAGCAGAUACUGGUGCCAAGAUCGGUUUGACAGGUGUAGAGGCAAAGGUGCUGGGAACAGGCAUCUCCUUUGGUCGUAAAAUGGGCAUUUCUCUGUUUGGCACUGGAAUUGAAUUUAAUUUGUGGUAAACUGUCGCUUUGUGGCAAACACUACUGUUGUGUCUUCUUUUCAAACAAAGAAACAAUGUAAUCAUGUAAAAUUUGCUGUAUGUAUAAAUGAAAAUUGUUCUUGUGAUGAUGUACAUCUUUACUGCAGAUAAAACAUUUUACCUUGAUAUAA